CCAGACUCCUACGGGAGGCAGCAGUGGGGGAUAUUGCACAAUGGGGGAAACCCUGAUGCAGCGACGCCGCGUGGGUGAAGAAGCGCCUCGGCGCGUAAAGCCCUGACAGCAGGGAAGAAAAUGACGGUACCUGAAGAAGAAGCCCCGGCUGACUACGUGCCAGCAGCCGCGGUAAUACGUAGGGGGCAAGCGUUAUCCGGAUUUACUGGGUGUAAAGGGAGCGUAGACGGCCAUGCAAGCCUGGAGUGAAAGCCCGGGGCCCAACCCCGGGACUGCUCUGGGAACUGUGCGGCUGGAGUGCAGGAGAGGUAAGUGGAAUUCCUAGUGUAGCGGUGAAAUGCGUAGAUAUUAGGAGGAACACCAGUGGCGAAGGCGGCUUACUGGACUGUAACUGACGUUGAGGCUCGAAAGCGUGGGGAGCAAACAGGAUUAGAUACCCGGGUAUAA
This 447-nucleotide ribosomal RNA is filed under the name uncultured bacterium. RNAcentral describes it as "bacterial SSU rRNA". It matches the Rfam family "Bacterial small subunit ribosomal RNA", at positions 331 to 793 of the family's 1533-position model. The record is from RNAcentral.